Molecule: ribosomal RNA, 782 nt
Filed under: uncultured Staphylococcus sp.
Lineage: Bacteria; Bacillati; Bacillota; Bacilli; Caryophanales; Staphylococcaceae
Description: bacterial SSU rRNA
Rfam family: Bacterial small subunit ribosomal RNA
Source: RNAcentral
UGCUCCUUUGACGUUAGCGGCGGACGGGUGAGUAACACGUGGGUAACCUACCUAUAAGACUGGGACAACUUCGGGAAACCGGAGCUAAUACCGGAUAAUAUGUUGAACCGCAUGGUUCAAUAGUGAAAGAUGGUUUUGCUAUCACUUAUAGAUGGACCCGCGCCGUAUUAGCUAGUUGGUGAGGUAACGGCUCACCAAGGCAACGAUACGUAGCCGACCUGAGAGGGUGAUCGGCCACACUGGAACUGAGACACGGUCCAGACUCCUACGGGAGGCAGCAGUAGGGAAUCUUCCGCAAUGGGCGAAAGCCUGACGGAGCAACGCCGCGUGAGUGAUGAAGGUCUUAGGAUCGUAAAACUCUGUUAUUAGGGAAGAACAAACGUGUAAGUAACUGUGCACGUCUUGACGGUACCUAAUCAGAAAGCCACGGCUAACUACGUGCCAGCAGCCGCGGUAAUACGUAGGUGGCAAGCGUUAUCCGGAAUUAUUGGGCGUAAAGCGCGCGUAGGCGGUUUUUUAAGUGCUGAUGUGAAAGCCCACGGCUCAACCGUGGAGGGUCAUUGGAAACUGGAAAACUUGAGUGCAGAAGAGGAAAUGUGGAAUUCCAUGUGUAUCNGGUGAAAUGCGCAGAGAUAUGGAGGAACACCAGUGGCGAAGGCGACUUUCUGGUCUGUAACUGACGCUGAUGUGCGUAAAGCGUGGGGAUCAAACAGGAUUAGAUACCCUGGUAGUCCACGCCGUAAACGAUGAGUGCUAAGUGUUAGGGGGUUUCCGCCCCUUAG